Molecule: transfer RNA, 78 nt
Filed under: Streptomyces griseofuscus
Lineage: Bacteria; Bacillati; Actinomycetota; Actinomycetes; Kitasatosporales; Streptomycetaceae
Description: tRNA-Ala
Source: RNAcentral
UCCGGGCUGGCCGAGGACGAGGUGCUGCGGCUCGCGGCCGCCGCCGAGCACCCCAGCGAGCAUCCGCUGGCCCGUGCC